RNAcentral lists this small RNA (96 nucleotides) under Arabidopsis thaliana (thale cress). RNAcentral's name for it is "ATSL305040". Lineage: Eukaryota; Viridiplantae; Streptophyta; Magnoliopsida; Brassicales; Brassicaceae. The record is from RNAcentral.
AUCCAAAGGAAUGAAUAAUUAAAAAGAAGUUUUGGCAGAUAAAUGCGAGAGAAAGAACCUUGAGUGUAGGCAAGAAACGGGCUUUGGUGGCUUCAU